RNAcentral lists this signal recognition particle RNA (300 nucleotides) under Aotus nancymaae (Ma's night monkey). RNAcentral describes it as "Metazoan signal recognition particle RNA (ENSANAG00000007321.1)". It matches the Rfam family "Metazoan signal recognition particle RNA". Rfam says of the family: The signal recognition particle (SRP) is a universally conserved ribonucleoprotein. The record is from RNAcentral. Lineage: Eukaryota; Metazoa; Chordata; Mammalia; Primates; Aotidae.
GCCAGCUGUGGUAGUCCCAGCUACUUGGGAGGCUGAGGUGGGAGGGUCGCUUGAGCCCAGGAGUUCUGAGCUGUAGUGAGCUAUGCCAAUUGGUCGGCACUAAGUUAGCAUCGGCACUAAGUUCAGCAUCAAUAUGGUGACCUCCUGGGAGCAGGGGACCACCAGGUUGCCUGAGGAGGGCUGAACCGGCCCAGGCUGGAAAUGGAGCAGGUCAAAACUUCCAUGCUGAUCAGUAGUGGGAUUUCUCCUGUGAAUAGCCACUGCACUCCAGCCUGGGCAACAUAGCGAGAUCCCGUCUCU